RNAcentral lists this transfer RNA (74 nucleotides) under Candidatus Woesearchaeota archaeon. RNAcentral's name for it is "tRNA-Ala". It matches the Rfam family "tRNA". Rfam says of the family: Transfer RNA (tRNA) molecules are approximately 80 nucleotides in length. Their secondary structure includes four short double-helical elements and three loops (D, anti-codon, and T loops). The record is from RNAcentral. Lineage: Archaea; Nanobdellati; Candidatus Woesearchaeota.
GGGCGGAUAGUUCAGCCCGGUAGAACGCCCCGCUGGCAGCGGGGAGGCCGUGGGUUCAAAUCCCGCUCCGUCCA